AGCUGGUCCCAAAGUAGUAGUUUCUCAGUUGGCUGUUCACAGUCAGUUACAGAUCAAACUUCCCAUUCUAUUCUUCCCCCCUUAUUAUUGCUCUUGACUAAUUGUUA
This is an unclassified non-coding RNA of Cercocebus atys (sooty mangabey), 107 nucleotides long. It matches the Rfam family "Y RNA". From Rfam's summary of the family: Y RNAs are components of the Ro ribonucleoprotein particle (Ro RNP), in association with Ro60 and La proteins. The Y RNAs and Ro60 and La proteins are well conserved, but the function of the Ro RNP is not known. NCBI's taxonomy places the organism in Eukaryota, Metazoa, Chordata, Mammalia, Primates, Cercopithecidae. The record is from Ensembl.